RNAcentral lists this ribosomal RNA (1306 nucleotides) under metagenome. Its description in RNAcentral is "SSU rRNA". It matches the Rfam family "Eukaryotic small subunit ribosomal RNA", at positions 483 to 1783 of the family's 1831-position model. The record is from RNAcentral.
AUACCGGGCCUUUUUGGGCUUGGUAAUUGGAAUGAGGGAGAGUCAAACGGACCAUCGAGUAUCCAUUGGAGGGCAAGUCUGGUGCCAGCAGCUGCGGUAAUACCAGCUCCAAUAGCGUAUAUUAAAGUUGUUGCAGUUAGAAAGCUCAUAGUUGGACUUGUGUGCGCUGUCCGCGGGUGGCCUGCGCCCAAAAGGGCGUUUCGGUUCGGCCCCGGUGGCGCCUUGAAAUCUGCAGCUGGGGGGACGUUGGCCUUAACUGGUCGGCGACCGCACGCCGGCUGCUCGGUUACUGUGAGAAAAUUAGAGUGUUCAAGGCAGGCAUUGGGUGCGAUUGAAUACAUUAGCAUGGAAUAAUAAAAUAUGGCUCCUGCCGUAUUUUGUUGGUUUUGACUGGUGGGAGUAAUGAUUGAUAGGGACGGUUGGGGGUGCUAGUAUUGAGCGGCCAGAGGUGAAAUUCAUGGAUUCGCUCAAGACUAACUUAUGCGAAAGCAUUCACCAAGGACGUCCUCUUUAAUCAAGAACGAAAGUUGGGGGAUCGAAGACGAUCAGAUACCGUCGUAGUCUCAACCAUAAACUAUGUCGACUUGGGAUCGGCGGUAGUUUUUUCAUUAAGACACUGUCGGGACCACGGGAGAAAUCAAAGUGUCUGGACUCUGGGGGAAGUAUGGUCGCAAGGCUGAAACUUGAAGGAAUUGACGGAAGGGCACCACCAGGAGUGGAGCCUGCGGCUUAAUUUGACACAACACGGGGAAACUUACCAGGUCCAGAGAUGUAGAGGAUUGACAGAUUGAAGCUCUUUCUUGAUCACUUCGGUGGUGGUGCAUGGCCGUUCUUAGUUGGUGGAGUGAUUUGUCUGGUUAAUUCCGUUAACGAACGAGACCUCAGCCUGCUAGUGUAGUCGGCUGGAUUGCCUUUGGCGAUCCGUGAUUUCGACUUCUUAGAGGGACAAUCGACGCGCAGUCGAUGGAAGUUUGAGGCAAUAACAGGUCUGUGAUGCCCUUAGAUGUUCUGGGCCGCACGCGCGCUACACUGCUGGGCUCAGCGAGUUUUACUUGCCGAGAGGCCCGGUUAAUCUUGUGAAAUCCCAGCGUGCUUGGGCUCGCCUCCUGCAACUGGAGGCGCCAACGAGGAAUUCCUAGUAGACGCAGGCCAUCAACCUGCAUCGAUUACGUCCCUGCCCUUUGUACACACCGCCCGUCGUUCCAUAAGAGUGAGGCAUCCGGUGAAUUCUCGGGAGAGCCUGGGCGUGGCCAGCAAUGGUCUGCUCGGGUUUGAACUUGCAUAAACUUGGUGCCUAUGAUUAGGG